RNAcentral lists this ribosomal RNA (497 nucleotides) under uncultured bacterium. Its description in RNAcentral is "partial 16S ribosomal RNA". It matches the Rfam family "Bacterial small subunit ribosomal RNA", at positions 28 to 507 of the family's 1533-position model. The record is from RNAcentral.
GAUGAACGCUGGCGGCGUGCCUAAUACAUGCAAGUCGAGCGAACAGACGAGGAGCUUGCUCCUCUGACGUUAGCGGCGGACGGGUGAGUAACACGUGGAUAACCUACCUAUAAGACUGGGAUAACUUCGGGAAACCGGAGCUAAUACCGGAUAAUAUAUUGAACCGCAUGGUUCAAUAGUGAAAGACGGUUUUGCUGUCACUUAUAGAUGGAUCCGCGCCGCAUUAGCUAGUUGGUAAGGUAAUGGCCUACCAAGGCAACGAUGCGUAGCCGACCUCAGAGGGUGAUCGGCCACACUGGAACGUGGCCACGGUCCAGACUCCUACGGGAGGCAGCAGUCGGGAAUCUUACGCAAUGGGCGAAAGCCUGACGGAGCAACGCCGCGUGAGUGAUGAAGGUCUUCGGAUCGUAAAGCUCUGUUAUUAGGGAAGAACAAAUGUGUAAGUAACUAUGCACGUCUUGACGGUACCUAAUCAGAAAGCCACGGCUAACUACGUG